GGCCCGGUAGCUCAACGGAUAGAGCAUCCCGCUUCUAACGGGAAGGUUGAGCGUUCGAUUCGCUCCCGGGUCACCA
This 76-nucleotide transfer RNA is filed under the name Candidatus Gottesmanbacteria bacterium RIFCSPLOWO2_02_FULL_42_29. RNAcentral's name for it is "tRNA-Arg". It matches the Rfam family "tRNA". Rfam says of the family: Transfer RNA (tRNA) molecules are approximately 80 nucleotides in length. Their secondary structure includes four short double-helical elements and three loops (D, anti-codon, and T loops). RNAcentral also lists the same sequence under 1 other name. Lineage: Bacteria; Candidatus Gottesmaniibacteriota. The record is from RNAcentral.